GAUGGAGUUGCUGUUUUGGGAGGGUAAUGGUGGUGGUGCUAAUGGUGAUGAGGGUGGAGAUGGUGGUGGUGAUCCUGGAAUUAUGCACCCAGUUGGUGGUAGAGGUGGUAGGGGAUGGAAUGGCUCUCGUGGAGGUGGUAAAGGUGGAGUCUUCACAUACGUUGGAGGUGGAGGUGGAGGUGGAGAUGGAGUUGCUGUUUUGGGAGGGUAAUG
This 213-nucleotide unclassified non-coding RNA is filed under the name Hevea brasiliensis (rubber tree). Lineage: Eukaryota; Viridiplantae; Streptophyta; Magnoliopsida; Malpighiales; Euphorbiaceae. The record is from RNAcentral.